CAAAAAAGGCGGUAGGCAUGAUUCUUAGGCAAAUCCGGGAAUCUCUAUGCCGAGCACCGAGACGAGUCCUAUGAGGACGAAGUGACUGACACCACGCUUCCAGGAAAAGCCACUAAGCUUCAGCUGUAGAAAAACCGUACCGCAAACCGACACAGGUAGGCGGGGUGAGAAUCCCAAGGCGCUUGAGAGAACUCGGGUGAAGGAACUAGGCAAAAUGGCACCGUAACUUCGGGAGAAGGUGCGCCUCUUGGUGUGGUCACGUGCGUGACUGAGCAUCGAGGGGUCGCAGUAACCUGGCCGCUGCGACUGUUUAUCAAAAACACAGCACUCUGCAAACACGAAAGUGGACGUAUAGGGUGUGACGCCUGCCCGGUGCUGGAAGGUUAAUUGAUGGGGUCAGCCGCAAGGCGAAGCUCUUGAUCGAAGCCCCAGUAAACGGCGGCCGUAACGAUAACGGUCCUAAGGUAGCGAAAUUCCUUGUCGGGUAAGUUCCGACCUGCACGAAUGGCGUAACGACAGCGGCGCUGUCUCCACCCGAGACUCAGUGAAAUUGAAAUCGCUGUGAAGAUGCAGCGUUCCCGCGGCAAGACGGAAAGACCCCGUGAACCUUUACUAUAGCUUUACACUGAACGUUGAGUUCUUCUGUGUAGGAUAGGUGGGAGGCUAUGAAACCAGGACGCUAGUUCUGGUGGAGCCAUCCUUGAAAUACCACCCUGAAGUGCUUGACGUUCUAACCUAGGUCCGUAAUCCGGAUCGGGGACCGUGUAUGGUGGGUAGUUUGACUGGGGCGGUCUCCUCCCAAAGAGUAACGGAGGAGCACGAAGGUACGCUCAGCGCGGUCGGACAUCGCGCACUGUGUGCAAAGGCAUAAGCGUGCUUGACUGCGAGAUCGACGGAUCAAGCAGGUACGAAAGUAGGUCUUAGUGAUCCGGUGGUUCUGUAUGGAAGGGCCAUCGCUCAACGGAUAAAAGGUACUCCGGGGAUAACAGGCUGAUACCGCCCAAGAGUUCAUAUCGACGGCGGUGUUUGGCACCUCGAUGUCGGCUCAUCUCAUCCUGGGGCUGUAGCCGGUCCCAAGGGUAUGGCUGUUCGCCAUUUAAAGUGGUACGCGAGCUGGGUUCAGAACGUCGUGAGACAGUUCGGUCCCUAUCUGUCGUGGGCGUUGGAGAUUUGAGGGGGGCUGCUCCUAGUACGAGAGGACCGGAGUGGACGUUCCGCUGGUGUUCGGGUUGUCAUGCCCAUGGCAUUGCCCGGUAGCUACGAACGGAAGUGAUAACCGCUGAAAGCAUCUAAGCGGGAAGCACGCCCCAAGAUGAGAUCUCCCGAGAGCUUGACUCUCCUAAAGGCACCAUCAAGACUAGGUGGUUGAUAGGCACGGUGUGGAAGUGCAGCAAUGCAUUGAGCUUACGUGUACUAAUGAGCCGUGAGGCUUGACC
This 1436-nucleotide ribosomal RNA is filed under the name metagenome. RNAcentral's name for it is "bacterial LSU rRNA". It matches the Rfam family "Bacterial large subunit ribosomal RNA", at positions 1509 to 2925 of the family's 2925-position model. The record is from RNAcentral.